This is a non-coding RNA of Gossypium raimondii (Peruvian cotton), 143 nucleotides long. Lineage: Eukaryota; Viridiplantae; Streptophyta; Magnoliopsida; Malvales; Malvaceae. The record is from Rfam.
UGUUAACAAUUUUAUCCAUUUCUACGGUUAAAAACUGGCAUGGCUAACGGAUAACCAAACAAUUACAUGUUGCAUACCACUUGUACUUUAUGUUGACGCACAUGAACUAAUUUUUAAUAGUAGAAAUGAAUGAAAUUUUAACA